RNAcentral lists this ribosomal RNA (153 nucleotides) under Erysiphe adunca. RNAcentral's name for it is "5.8S ribosomal RNA". It matches the Rfam family "5.8S ribosomal RNA". Rfam says of the family: 5.8S ribosomal RNA (5.8S rRNA) is a component of the large subunit of the eukaryotic ribosome. It is transcribed by RNA polymerase I as part of the 45S precursor that also contains 18S and 28S rRNA. Lineage: Eukaryota; Fungi; Ascomycota; Leotiomycetes; Helotiales; Erysiphaceae. The record is from RNAcentral.
AAACUUUCAACAACGGAUCUCUUGGCUCUGGCAUCGAUGAAGAACGCAGCGAAAUGCGAUAAGUAAUGUGAAUUGCAGAAUUUAGUGAAUCAUCGAUCUUUGAACGCACAUUGCGCCCCUUGGCAUUCCGAGGGGCAUGCCUGUUCGAGCGUC